AGUGAACGCUGGCGGCAGGCCUAACACAUGCAAGUCGAACGGCAGCACGGGAGUAACCUGGCCGACGGGGGGGGGACGGGUGAGCAAUUGCUCGGGAGAUGGGAAUAUCUGCUGGAUAAGGUGGGUAAACAGCCGCACAUACGGGAUCAGAACAACGGACCCACGGGGGGAAGCGCGCGCGCUUCGGCAGUUAGGUGAGCGGACGAGGGGUUAGCGAGUUGGUGGGGUAAAGGCGUACCAAGGCGACGAGCCGUAGCUGGUCUGAGAGGAUGAGCAGCCACACUGGGACUGAGACACGGUCCAGACUCCUACGGGAGGCAGCAGUGGGGAAUAUUGGACAAUGGGCGCAAGCCUGAUCCAGCCAUGCCGCGUGGGUGAAGAAGGCCUUCGGGUUGUAAAGCACUUUUGUCGGGAAAGAAAAGCAUCAAGUUAAUACCUCGAUGCGAUGACGGUACCUGAAGAAUAAGCACCGGCUAACUUCGUG
RNAcentral lists this ribosomal RNA (484 nucleotides) under uncultured bacterium. Its description in RNAcentral is "partial 16S ribosomal RNA". It matches the Rfam family "Bacterial small subunit ribosomal RNA", at positions 30 to 507 of the family's 1533-position model. The record is from RNAcentral.